UUAGGGUUAGGGAAAUGAAACACAGUGCACAAAGUCAGGAAGAGUUUAAACCUGACCAUCUUUCUUUUAUUCAAGUUGAGGGCCAAGAAAGUCCUUGCAUUGCCAUUAACCUGAAGACAGAGAAAGAUAAAGCUUUGCUGGAGGAAUGAUAGGUGAACUUGCUGCACCUAUUGAAUUUCUAGCUGGACAAUUACUAUAGUAGCGGUAGCAUUUGAGGGAAGUGCUGUGCCUUACAGAAAUGCAUCAGGAAGAAAUUCACUAGGGACACCUUUAGCAAAUGACUGGGGAAGCUGCACCUGUUGCAUUCCUGGCUGGACACAUCCCUCCCAAGAACAAUGUCAAGCUGAAAGACCAAGGACAGAUAUCAGAAGGUAUUGGAACAUCCUGUCCUUCAUGUUUGCCAUUCAGGAGAUCAAUCGGAAUCCCAGGCUCCUACCCAACAUCACACUGGGCUAUAGCAUCUAUGAGAACUAUUAUGAUGCAAUAAUGACUUCUGACACUGUGGUGGACCUGUUGUCUACUGGGAAGGUGAAUGUUCCAAACUACAGUUGUGGAAGAAGGAGUGAUCUGGUGGCUGUUCUUGAAGGGUCUGACUCUGAUAUCUCCAUCCAGAUUUCAACCAUGUUGGGCAUCUACAAAAUUCCACAGGUAUGAAGGGCUGGACAGAGGCUAAGUAUAAACUAAGCGUUAAUAGCACAGAAACUUCAUAUCUUCAGAUCUAUCGACGGACAUAUUAUCAUCUGUGAUGGGAAUGUGAAAAAGUGCAGUAAAGCUUAUUAUUUA
Molecule: long non-coding RNA, 783 nt
Organism: Hemicordylus capensis (graceful crag lizard)
Lineage: Eukaryota; Metazoa; Chordata; Lepidosauria; Squamata; Cordylidae
Exons: 2
Source: RefSeq, a predicted model, not a curated record